This 406-nucleotide ribosomal RNA is filed under the name uncultured bacterium. RNAcentral's name for it is "partial 16S ribosomal RNA". It matches the Rfam family "Bacterial small subunit ribosomal RNA", at positions 29 to 525 of the family's 1533-position model. The record is from RNAcentral.
AUUGAACGCUGGCGGCAGGCCUAACACAUGCAAGUCGAGCGGAGCGGCGGACGGGUGAGUAAUGCCUAGGAAUCUGCCUGGUAGUGGGGGAUAACGUCCGGAAACGGGCGCUAAUACCGCAUACUCUCAGAUGAGCAUAGGUCGGAUUAGCUAGUUGGUGGGGUAAAGGCCUACCAAGGCGACGAUCCGUAACUGGUCUGAGAGGAUGAUCAGUAAAACGGAAACGGGGAAACGGUCCAGCCUCCUCGGGGAGGCAGCAGGGGGAAAUAUUGGAAAAUGGGCGAAAGCCUGAGCCAGCCAGGCCGCGUGUGUGAAGAAGGUCUUCGGAUUGUAAAGCACUUUAAGUAGGGAGGCGUUACCAACAGAGUAAGCACCGGCUAACUUCGUGCCAGCCGCCGCGGAAAUU